AUUGAACGCUGGCGGCAGGCCUAACACAUGCAAGUCGGACGGUAGCACAGAGGAGCUUGCUCCUCGGGUGACGAGUGGCGUACGGGUGAGUAAUGUCUGGGGAUCUGCCCGAUAGAGGGGGAUAACCACUGGAAACGGUGGCUAAUACCGCAUAACGUCGCAAGACCAAAGAGGGGGACCUUCGGGCCUCUCACUAUCGGAUGAACCCAGAUGGGAUUAGCUAGUAGGCGGGGUAACGGCCCACCUAGGCGACGAUCCCUAGCUGGUCUGAGAGGAUGACCAGCCACACUGGAACUGAGACACGGUCCAGACUCCUACGGGAGGCAGCAGUGGGGAAUAUUGCACAAUGGGCGCAAGCCUGAUGCAACCAUGCCGCGUGUAUGAAGAAGGCCUUCGGGUUGUAAAGUACUUUCAGCGGGGAGGAAGGCGAUGUGGUUAAUAACCGCAUUGAUUGACGUUACCCGCAGAAGAAGCACCGGCUAACUCCGUGCCAGCAGCCGCGGUAA
RNAcentral lists this ribosomal RNA (506 nucleotides) under uncultured bacterium. RNAcentral describes it as "partial 16S ribosomal RNA". It matches the Rfam family "Bacterial small subunit ribosomal RNA", at positions 30 to 523 of the family's 1533-position model. The record is from RNAcentral.